UGUAGUCAUAUGCUUGUCUCAAAGAUUAAGCCAUGCAUGUCUAAGUAUAAGCAACUUGUACUGUGAAACUGCGAAUGGCUCAUUAAAUCAGUUAUCGUUUAUUUGAUAGUACCUUACUACAUGGAUACCUGUGGUAAUUCUAGAGCUAAUACAUGCUAAAAACCCCGACUUCAGGAAGGGGUGUAUUUAUUAGAUAAAAAACCAACGCCCUUCGGGGCUCCUUGGUGAAUCAUAAUAACUUAACGAAUCGCAUGGCCUUGCGCCGGCGAUGGUUCAUUCAAAUUUCUGCCCUAUCAACUUUCGAUGGUAGGAUAGUGGCCUACCAUGGUGGCAACGGGUAACGGGGAAUUAGGGUUCGAUUCCGGAGAGGGAGCCUGAGAAACGGCUACCACAUCCAAGGAAGGCAGCAGGCGCGCAAAUUACCCAAUCCCGAUACGGGGAGGUAGUGACAAUAAAUACUGAUACGGGGCUCUUUUGGGUCUCGUAAUUGGAAUGAGAACAAUUUAAAUCCCUUAACGAG
This 520-nucleotide ribosomal RNA is filed under the name uncultured fungus. Its description in RNAcentral is "SSU rRNA". It matches the Rfam family "Eukaryotic small subunit ribosomal RNA", at positions 21 to 541 of the family's 1831-position model. The record is from RNAcentral. Lineage: Eukaryota; Fungi.